UGACUAUACAUGCAAGUCGAGCGGACAGAUGGGAGCUUGCUCCCUGAUGUUAGCGGCGGACGGGUGAGUAACACGUGGGUAACCUGCCUGUAAGACUGGGAUAACUCCGGGAAACCGGGGCUAAUACCGGAUGCUUGUUUGAACCGCAUGGUUCAGACAUAAAAGGUGGCUUCGGCUACCACUUACAGAUGGACCCGCGGCGCAUUAGCUAGUUGGUGAGGUAACGGCUCACCAAGGCAACGAUGCGUAGCCGACCUGAGAGGGUGAUCGGCCACACUGGGACUGAGACACGGCCCAGACUCCUACGGGAGGCAGCAGUAGGGAAUCUUCCGCAAUGGACGAAAGUCUGACGGAGCAACGCCGCGUGAGUGAUGAAGGUUUUCGGAUCGUAAAGCUCUGUUGUUAGGGAAGAACAAGUGCCGUUCAAAUAGGGCGGCACCUUGACGGUACCUAACCAGAAAGCCACGGCUAACUACGUGCCAGCAGCCGCGGUAAUACGUAGGUGGCAAGCGUUGUCCGGAAUUAUUGGGCGUAAAGGGCUCGCAGGCGGUUUCUUAAGUCUGAUGUGAAAGCCCCCGGCUCAACCGGGGAGGGUCAUUG
Molecule: ribosomal RNA, 600 nt
Filed under: Bacillus sp. (in: firmicutes)
Lineage: Bacteria; Bacillati; Bacillota; Bacilli; Caryophanales; Bacillaceae
Description: bacterial SSU rRNA
Rfam family: Bacterial small subunit ribosomal RNA
Source: RNAcentral